CCGAGGGAUGCGGGAUGCGCCGGGAGGUGCCAGGAUGCGCGGCGCUGCAGGCGCGGCCCAGGGCCCCUCAGGGGUCGCGUCACCGCGCAGGCGAAGCCAGGAGCUGGAUCGCCUAUGCCUCCCGCCUUGCGGAAGGGCUCUGGCUUUCUGCAGAUUCUUCUCAAGGGAGGCUGUGACCCAAAAGAUUUGGAGCUGAUGCUGAACAACCUUAGGUUACAGGAGGGGGUCUGGGGACCUCAGAGUGGAGAAGAAGCUGGUUCAAAGUCACCUGGAAAUUUAGCAGCAAGUUGGAAAGAAGAACUCAAGACUCCAGACUGUACAAUGCUAUUUAAUGUCUGACUAAAGGUCACCUCCUCCGAGAAGCCUUCCUUGAACUCAUCCCAUCUUCUGCGUUACAUUGCAUAUACCUUGACUGCUGCAAAGUCUCUUCAGUCGUGUCCGACUCUGUGCAACCCCAUAGACGGCAGCCCACCAGGCUCCCCUGUCCCUGGGAUUCUCCAGGCAAGAACACUGGAAUGGAAAAAAAAAACAUCUCCUGGAGCUCAAAGCAGCUUGUCCAAGUUCCCCCAGGGAGUGAGUGGCAGAGCUGGGGUUUGAAUCCAAAAUGGUUUUGCACCUCCUAUACCGCCAGUGCUGCCGUGGUGUUUGUUCAGCAUCCAGCUGAGGGCAGCAUGGCCCUCACGGAGGCCCUCUCAACUGGGCUGUGGAGCAGCUGGAAGUACAGAGCCCAGCUCCCCCACCAUCCUGGGAGAAAGAAAUUGCAAAGAGGGGAAAAGAAUUUGACCUUCAUGGAGCUCACAAUCCACUGGAGAGAUGGCUCAGACACCAGUGGAGGAGCCAAUAGAACAAAUGCAGUCCAUCACGAAAACUCUUUUAAAAAUGUAUUGUGUGUAGGAAUGACAACCCUCAUAGAAAAUCCCAGGAUUUUCUCUUCUGUGUGUUUCCGUCUCGCUUCCUUGCAGCCAUGAUACUAGCUGAGGUCAUUGGUGCAAUGAGAUGAAAGAAGAUGAUUCUGUCACUUUUCUAGAUCUUUGAGUGAUACGUCAAGUUCAAGGCUAAUCACAUUUAUUUAACCUGUGUGUGAGUUUCGCAAUGAAGUUCUUGCUCUGUGAUCAUCAAUGAUUUCCAGUUCGCCGAUGUAGCCAUGCUUCAUCAUCACAAUAGAAAUCAUGUAAACCUUUCAAGGAAAGUCUUCCACUACAACAAACAACAAUUAAAAGCCAGAUGAUGACUUCG
This is a long non-coding RNA of Bubalus bubalis (water buffalo), 1236 nucleotides long. RefSeq lists it as uncharacterized. The transcript has 3 exons. Lineage: Eukaryota; Metazoa; Chordata; Mammalia; Artiodactyla; Bovidae. The record is from RefSeq and is a predicted model, not a curated record.